CCCAAACACCUCCCCUCCCCCUCCAUUUGGAGCAGCCCCCCUCAAUGCGGAAAUGUCCCCGCCGCGCAGACAGACAGGAACAACCGCCAGUCAGGAGCCGAGGCGGAUGCAGGGCCUAGCCAAUGAGACGCGCGGAGGUGGCAGGAGGCGGGGCGUCUGAGGCUGAGGGGACACCCCCCUCCCCCCCCCUCCCCGGGAGGUGGGCGCAAACAGGACCCUGGGAUCCGCUUGUAAAAGCAGCACCUGCUGCGGCGGGGCAAGGGGUGUUUCACCAGUAAAACUCCCCGGCUUCUACGGAUACUUUAGCAAGGGCGAGAACCUGAAGCACGAGUGGUUAUUUUUGCAGUCCAUAAAAACGUUCCGGUUUACGAGGGAUUGAAGGUAGCUAAACAGCGGAUAGAGCCAGAACGCUCCACGGCUACUACCUGAGAGAGCCUUUCUCAGUAGAUACAAACUCUCCUCCCUACAUCUGGUCUGGGGAGGGUGAAGGUGCGUUCAGGAGUAAGCAGUGGGAAGUGUGGAGUCCACCAACAGAAGGAGGGAUUUAGGGUGUGGGAAAAAAAAGUGCCAGGUGAAGGCUCUGCCACCAGAACCAGCGCGGCCAGUACCUAUUCCUGUAGAGAGUUAUGCUGUGAUAGACAUUUACUUUAAUGACCAAAGUGGCAAUGGCUUGUUACCCCUCGAGAUGCUUACCUUUACUAUUCUUGAAGUCCACAAGGAAAGAGGAUGUUGCAAGAACCUUGGCGGUGGCGUGUGAACUGCGAGAGGGCCAGCCCAGCGCCCGCUAAAUCACACCUGAUAUUGCCAACACCUGUAAAACUCAGUGGGUGUAUCUCAGACUUCACUUUGUGACUCAGUCAAACUAUGUCAGGACAGAUGAAUUGUUAGCACUCUCUUAGAGGCCUGCAGUAAACCAAGUAAUUCUAGAAGAGUUUGAGGCUUUGGACAACCCUAAUCAACCAAGGACAUGAGGACGGCAGCAGUGUUGGCACCAGGACCCUCAACACUUCUGAUGCCCUGAAAGUUGGACCUCUUGCACAUGUCAGCAGCUGCAACAAUGGCGGUGGUACCUUUGGUGGGCAGUGAUGACACGGCUUGGAGGACUGGCAGCAGCUAGCUGCUUGUAUCAGCAGGGAGAGCACAGCCCUCUGAACUUCUGAGAAUUCUCUGAAGAAUUGAAGGGCACAUAGUCAUUGGCAGUGGAGUUUGUGUUAGCUGACUCACCUCUGUGCCUAGACAGACAACACCAAAAUACACACCGAACAACAGUAAGCACCAUCUGCGUAAAAUAUCAGAGAAAGAAAUCUUAAAUCAGCCCCCAAAUCCAGGUCCUCAUUCCCACUUUCGUGUCAAUGAAGAGAACAGAAAUAAGAUAAGCCAGAGAAAUAAGGUAGUGCCAAAAUCAUUCACACUUCCAUUUACUGAGUUUGAAUUUGCAACUCUGUUGGUGUUUCUGAACAUUCAGUCCUGAUUUGUCUAUGUUCUUGUUUCUUACUUUUUAUUGAACUGCUUCCCCUCUAUUUUCUCUUUUUCAGAACUCUGUAACCUCUGCCCCGUUGGAAGUUGAACCCUUCCCAAUAUAAGCAGUGUUUUUCCUGCCUUUUCUUAUCUUUAGGUUUCAUAGGCUAAACCUGAAAAAUCUAUUUGUUAUUGAUCUCAGAAAGGUCAUUUUUCCCUUUUCUCUCUCCAGAAACGUUAACUAAUAUGUAGCUGGUACAUUUCAACUAUGGUUCUCACACAGUUGGUAGAUUUAAACCAAGUUUUCAGAAUUCCAUCUCCCCUUUCUUUCCUAUACUUCCCACUCUUAAGGGUGAAGAAAUUCCAGCACAAAUUAUUUAGUACAACUAGGCUGUGUCAGUAAAUGGAAUCAAGUCUCAAAGGUUUUGUGCUUUGAUAUAUUUUCAAUACAUAGAAAUGGUGGCAAUAAAAUGAAAUUAUUUUCUGCAUCCA
Molecule: long non-coding RNA, 1950 nt
Organism: Herpailurus yagouaroundi (jaguarundi)
Lineage: Eukaryota; Metazoa; Chordata; Mammalia; Carnivora; Felidae
Exons: 4
Source: RefSeq, a predicted model, not a curated record